CUCGGGACAGUCGGACGUUGAGGAGCGUGAACCCGGUCAGGUUCGGAAGAAAGCAGCCGCAGCGAACACCGAACGGGUCGAUUUCCCACGAAA
RNAcentral lists this signal recognition particle RNA (93 nucleotides) under Holosporaceae bacterium. RNAcentral's name for it is "signal recognition particle sRNA small type". It matches the Rfam family "Bacterial small signal recognition particle RNA". From Rfam's summary of the family: The signal recognition particle (SRP) is a universally conserved ribonucleoprotein involved in the co-translational targeting of proteins to membranes. Archaeal SRP consists of a 7S RNA and homologues of the eukaryotic SRP19 and SRP54 proteins. In most bacteria, the SRP consists of a 4.5S RNA and the Ffh protein (a homologue of the eukaryotic SRP54 protein). The record is from RNAcentral. Lineage: Bacteria; Pseudomonadati; Pseudomonadota; Alphaproteobacteria; Holosporales; Holosporaceae.